CGUAGGGUGCGAGCGUUAAUCGGAAUUACUGGGCGUAAAGCGUGCGCAGGCGGUUUUGUAAGACAGGCGUGAAAUCCCCGGGCUCAACCUGGGAACUGCGCUUGUGACUGCAAGGCUAGAGUACGGCAGAGGGGGUGGAAUUCCACGUGUAGCAGUGAAAUGCGUAGAGAUGUGGAGGAACACCAAUGGCGAAGGCAGCCCCCUGGGUCGAUACUGACGCUCAUGCACGAAAGCGUGGAUAGCAAACAGGAUUAGAUACCCUGGUAGUCCACGCCCUAAACGAUGUCAACUAGGUGUUGGGUGGGUAAAACCAUUUAGUACCGGAGCUAACGCGUGAAGUUGACCGCCUGGGGAGUACGGCCGCAAGGUUA
Molecule: ribosomal RNA, 371 nt
Filed under: uncultured organism
Description: bacterial SSU rRNA
Rfam family: Bacterial small subunit ribosomal RNA
Source: RNAcentral